GCCGCAAUAGCUCAGUUGGGAGAGCGUUUGACUGAAGAUCAAAAUGUCCCCCGUUCAAUCCGGGGUUGCGGCA
Ditylenchus destructor is the source of this 73-nucleotide non-coding RNA. The record is from the annotation of a GenBank genome assembly. Lineage: Eukaryota; Metazoa; Nematoda; Chromadorea; Rhabditida; Anguinidae.